Molecule: ribosomal RNA, 372 nt
Filed under: uncultured organism
Description: bacterial SSU rRNA
Rfam family: Bacterial small subunit ribosomal RNA
Source: RNAcentral
CGAAGGUGGCAAGCGUUACUCGGAAUUACUAGGCGUAAAGGGCAGGUAGGCGGCUCGACAAGUCCGUUGUGGAAGCUCCCGGCUUAACUGGGAGAGGUCAACGGAAACUGUCGGGCUUGAGUGUGGGAGAGGGUACUGGAAUUCCCGGUGUAGCGGUGAAAUGCGCAGAGAUCGGGAGGAACACCAACGGCGAAAGCAGGUACCUGGACCAUUACUGACGCUCAGCUGCGAAAGCUAGGGGAGCAAACAGGAUUAGAUACCCUGGUAGUCCUAGCCGUAAACGAUGCACAUUAGACGUGAGGGGUAUCGACCCCCUUCGUGUCGACGCAAACGCAUUAAAUGUGCCGCCUGGGGAGUACGGCCGCAAGGUUG